ACCUGCAUUCAAAAGUGAUCUUGGUUUGUCUGUCCUGCCCAUUGGUAAUUCAGGGAGAGCAGUUGCUGAAAGCACUUCCCCAUGUUUGGACGGUCUGCUCCUGUCCCUUCCAAACUCUGGAGCUUUCCUACA
This is a small nucleolar RNA of Hyaena hyaena (striped hyena), 132 nucleotides long. RefSeq annotates it as small nucleolar RNA SNORA71. The record is from RefSeq and is a predicted model, not a curated record. The transcript has a single exon. Lineage: Eukaryota; Metazoa; Chordata; Mammalia; Carnivora; Hyaenidae.